This 94-nucleotide signal recognition particle RNA is filed under the name Actinomycetales bacterium. RNAcentral describes it as "signal recognition particle sRNA small type". It matches the Rfam family "Bacterial small signal recognition particle RNA". Rfam says of the family: The signal recognition particle (SRP) is a universally conserved ribonucleoprotein involved in the co-translational targeting of proteins to membranes. Archaeal SRP consists of a 7S RNA and homologues of the eukaryotic SRP19 and SRP54 proteins. In most bacteria, the SRP consists of a 4.5S RNA and the Ffh protein (a homologue of the eukaryotic SRP54 protein). Lineage: Bacteria; Bacillati; Actinomycetota; Actinomycetes; Actinomycetales. The record is from RNAcentral.
GGCGCCCUCCGUGCGACGUCGUCCCGUUCACUCCCCCAGGGCUUGACCGCAGCAAGGGUCGAUGGGCUCCGGCGGGUGCACGGAGGGCCCUGCG